Molecule: non-coding RNA, 28 nt
Filed under: Mus musculus (house mouse)
Lineage: Eukaryota; Metazoa; Chordata; Mammalia; Rodentia; Muridae
Source: RNAcentral
UAUGACGUGUUACAUAGAUUAGAACUGA